UCAGUACUGUGUGAACGGAUUGUAGUUC
Molecule: small RNA, 28 nt
Filed under: Bombyx mori (domestic silkworm)
Lineage: Eukaryota; Metazoa; Arthropoda; Insecta; Lepidoptera; Bombycidae
Description: ovarian small RNA-25768
Source: RNAcentral